RNAcentral lists this unclassified non-coding RNA (312 nucleotides) under plant metagenome. RNAcentral describes it as "partial contains small subunit ribosomal RNA, internal transcribed spacer 1, and 5.8S ribosomal RNA". The record is from RNAcentral.
UUUCCGUAGGUGAACCUGCGGAAGGAUCAUUAGUGAAUAAACAAGUGCAGGUUGUGCUGGCCUUCUUGGUAUGUGCACGCCUGCCAAAGUUUCAUUCCAUCUUCCCACCUGUGCACUCUGUGUAGAUUCUGUAUGCUGUUUUCAAGCCUUUAUUGUGCUUGGUUGAGAGGAGUUGCUUGUUUUCACAAACAAGCUCUUCUUGGGCAUGCAGGUCUAUGUUUAUAUCAACACCAUAUGAAUGUUUUAGAAUGUGUAUUAGGCUUUUGGCCUUUAAAUUAAAUACAACUUUCAACAACGGAUCUCUUGGCUCUC